Long non-coding RNA from Pocillopora damicornis (cauliflower coral), 275 nucleotides. The record is from RefSeq and is a predicted model, not a curated record. NCBI's taxonomy places the organism in Eukaryota, Metazoa, Cnidaria, Anthozoa, Scleractinia, Pocilloporidae.
AAAGAGAAAACGAUUUCAUCGGAGAGUUUUAUAGGCAUCAAGAUUUACACAAUCGCGCGUUUUCCAUGGUGGUAGCCAGUAAUCGGUGGCUUGGUUUCCGUGCUGACGUACUUUGUGCAGUAUUAACAACUGCAGUGGCUUUUGCUUCUGUUUUAGCUUCUCAAAACCCAGCUUUGGCUGGUCUGGCGCUUGCUUAUGUUAUUAACACGGCAAAAAUCUCCCAAAUGGCUGUUAGACAAUAUGCUGAUGCUGAGAACCUUAUGACGUCUGUGGAG